Molecule: non-coding RNA, 29 nt
Filed under: Rattus norvegicus (Norway rat)
Lineage: Eukaryota; Metazoa; Chordata; Mammalia; Rodentia; Muridae
Source: RNAcentral
UGGGUUAAGCCUAGAAUAUACGGCCUGUU